UAAACGAUGUCAACUAGGUGUUGGGUGGGUAAAACCAUUUAGUACCGUAGCUAACGCGUGAAGUUGACCGCCUGGGGAGUACGGCCGCAAGGUUAAAACUCAAAGGAAUUGACGGGGACCCGCACAAGCGGUGGAUGAUGUGGAUUAAUUCGAUGCAACGCGAAAAACCUUACCUACCCUUGACAUGUCAGAAACUUGGCAGAGAUGCCUUGGUGCCCGAAAGGGAAUCUGAACACAGGUGCUGCAUGGCUGUCGUCAGCUCGUGUCGUGAGAUGUUGGGUUAAGUCCCGCAACGAGCGCAACCCUUGUCGUUAAUUGCCAUCAUUUAGUUGGGCACUUUAACGAGACUGCCGGUGACAAACCGGAGGAAGGUGGGGAUGACGUCAAGUCCUCAUGGCCCUUAUGGGUAGGGCUUCACACGUCAUACAAUGGUCGGUACAGAGGGUUGCCAAGCCGCGAGGUGGAGCCAAUCCCAGAAAGCCGAUCGUAGUCCGGAUUGCAGGCUGCAACUCGCCUGCAUGAAGUCGGAAUCGCUAGUAAUCGCGGAUCAGCAUGUCGCGGUGAAUACGUUCCCGGGUCUUGUACACACCGCCCGUCACACCAUGGGAGCGGGUUCCGCCAGAAGUAGGUAGCCUAACCGCAAGGGGGGCGCUUACCACGGCGGGGUUCGUGACUGGGGUGAAGUCGUAACAAGGUAGCCGUA
RNAcentral lists this ribosomal RNA (703 nucleotides) under uncultured bacterium. RNAcentral describes it as "bacterial SSU rRNA". It matches the Rfam family "Bacterial small subunit ribosomal RNA", at positions 803 to 1504 of the family's 1533-position model. The record is from RNAcentral.